CGAUACUAGCUUGCUAGUAGGCGUCGAGUGGCGGACGGGUGAGUAACGCGUAGGAAUCUGCCUGAUAGUGGGGGAUAGCCCGAAGAAAUUCGGAUUAAUACCGCAUAAUCUAUUUGUAGUAAAGUGGGGGACUUUCGAGCCUCACGCUAUCAGAUGAGCCUGCGUAAGAUUAGCUUGUUGGUAGGGUAAAAGCCUACCAAGGCGACGAUCUUUAGCUGGUCUGAGAGGAUGAUCAGCCACAUCGGGACUGAGACACGGCCCGAACUCCUACGGGAGGCAGCAGUGGGGAAUAUUGGACAAUGGGGGCAACCCUGAUCCAGCAAUACCGCGUGUGUGAAGAAGGCCUGAGGGUUGUAAAGCACUUUCAAUUGUGAAGAAAAGUUAACGGUUAAUAACCGUUAGCCUUGACGUUAACUUUAGAAGAAGCACCGGCUAACUCCGUGCCAGCAGCCGCGGUAAUACGGAGGGUGCAAGCGUUAAUCGGAAUUACUGGGCGUAAAGCGUGCGUAGGCGGUUUAUUAAGUCAGAUGUGAAAGCCCCGGGCUUAACCUGGGAACUGCAUUUGAAACUGGUCAACUAGAGUAUGGUAGAGGAAAGUGGAAUUUCUGGUGUAGCGGUGAAAUGCGUAGAUAUCAGAAGGAACAUCAAUGGCGAAGGCAGCUUUCUGGACCAAUACUGACGCUGAGGUACGAAAGCGUGGGUAGCAAACAGGAUUAGAUACCCUGGUAGUCCACGCCGUAAACGAUGAUAACUAGCCGUUGGGGGGAUUUACCCUUUAGUGGCGAAGCUAACGCG
RNAcentral lists this ribosomal RNA (795 nucleotides) under gamma proteobacterium SCGC AAA160-E05. RNAcentral's name for it is "bacterial SSU rRNA". It matches the Rfam family "Bacterial small subunit ribosomal RNA", at positions 69 to 859 of the family's 1533-position model. Lineage: Bacteria; Pseudomonadati; Pseudomonadota; Gammaproteobacteria. The record is from RNAcentral.